RNAcentral lists this transfer RNA (75 nucleotides) under Bradyrhizobium sp. BR13661. RNAcentral's name for it is "tRNA-Val". It matches the Rfam family "tRNA". Rfam says of the family: Transfer RNA (tRNA) molecules are approximately 80 nucleotides in length. Their secondary structure includes four short double-helical elements and three loops (D, anti-codon, and T loops). Lineage: Bacteria; Pseudomonadati; Pseudomonadota; Alphaproteobacteria; Hyphomicrobiales; Nitrobacteraceae. The record is from RNAcentral.
GCGUCUUUAGCUCAGUGGCAGAGCGCUUGCCCGACACGCAAGCUGCCCGGUGUUCGAUUCACCGAAGACGCACCA